This 409-nucleotide ribosomal RNA is filed under the name bacterium. Its description in RNAcentral is "partial 16S ribosomal RNA". It matches the Rfam family "Bacterial small subunit ribosomal RNA", at positions 355 to 776 of the family's 1533-position model. RNAcentral also lists the same sequence under 1 other name. The record is from RNAcentral.
UGGGGAAUAUUGCACAAUGGGCGAAAGCCUGAUGCAGCGACGCCGCGUGAGGGAUGACGGCCUUCGGGUUGUAAACCUCUUUCAGCAGGGACGAAGCGCAAGUGACGGUACCUGCAGAAGAAGCACCGGCUAACUACGUGCCAGCAGCCGCGGUAAUACGUAGGGUGCAAGCGUUGUCCGGAAUUACUGGGCGUAAAGAGUUCGUAGGCGGUUUGUCGCGUCGUUUGUGAAAACCAGCAGCUCAACUGCUGGCUUGCAGGCGAUACGGGCAGACUUGAGUACUGCAGGGGAGACUGGAAUUCCUGGUGUAGCGGUGAAAUGCGCAGAUAUCAGGAGGAACACCGGUGGCGAAGGCGGGUCUCUGGGCAGUAACUGACGCUGGGGAACGAAAGCGUGGGUAGCGAACAGG